This 497-nucleotide ribosomal RNA is filed under the name uncultured bacterium. Its description in RNAcentral is "partial 16S ribosomal RNA". It matches the Rfam family "Bacterial small subunit ribosomal RNA", at positions 28 to 507 of the family's 1533-position model. The record is from RNAcentral.
GAUGAACGCUGGCGGCGUGCCCAAUACAUGCAAGUCGAGCGAACGGACGAGAAGCUUGCUUCUCUGAUGUUAGCGGCGGACGGGUGAGUAACACGUGGAUAACCUACCUAUAAGACUGGGAUAACUUCGGGAAACCGUAGCUAAUACCGGAUAAUAUUUUGAACCGCAUGGUUCAAAAGUGAAAGACGGUCUUGCUGUCACUUAUAGAUGGAUCCGCGCUGCAUUAGCUAGUUGGUAAGGUAACGGCUUACCAAGGCAACGAUGCAUAGCCGACCUGAGAGGGUGAUCGGCCACACUGGAACUGAGACACGGUCCAGACUCCUACGGGAGGCAGCAGUAGGGAAUCUUCCGCAAUGGGCGAAAGCCUGACGGAGCAACGCCGCGUGAGUGAUGAAGGUCUUCGGAUCGUAAAACUCUGUUAUUAGGGAAGAACAUAUGUGUAAGUAACUGUACACAUCUUGACGGUACCUAAUCAGAAAGCCACGGCUAACUACGUG